This 321-nucleotide ribosomal RNA is filed under the name uncultured bacterium. Its description in RNAcentral is "bacterial SSU rRNA". It matches the Rfam family "Bacterial small subunit ribosomal RNA", at positions 776 to 1079 of the family's 1533-position model. The record is from RNAcentral.
AAAUAGAGUACCCCGGUAGUCCACGCCGUAAACCGAUGCAGACUAGGUAUCAGAAGUAGUCGACCCGUUCUUGUACCAAAGCUAACGCGUUAAGUCUGCCGCCUGGGGAAGUACGGUCGCAAGACUAAAACUACAAAGGAAUUGACGGGGGACGUCGCACAAGCGGUGGAGCAUGUGGUUUAAUUCGACAACAAACGAAGAACCUUACCUAGGGUUUGUACAUCUAGAGAACCUCGCCGAAGGCGGGGGUGGCCCGCGAAGGGAGCUUUAAGACGAGGUGCGUGCGACGGUCGGUCGUCAGCUCGUGUCGUGAGAGUGUGG